GAUGAACGCUGGCGGCGUGCUUAACACAUGCAAGUCGAACGAAGCAAUUGGAGUGCUUGCACUUUAAUUGACUGAGUGGCGGACGGGUGAGUAACGCGUGGGUAACCUGCCUCACACAGGGGGAUAACAGUUGGAAACAGCUGCUAAUACCGCAUAAGCGCACGGUACCGCAUGGUACAGUGUGAAAAACUCCGGUGGUGUGAGAUGGACCCGCGUCUGAUUAGCUAGUUGGUAAGGUAACGGCUUACCAAGGCGACGAUCAGUAGCCGGCCUGAGAGGGUGAACGGCCACAUUGGGACUGAGACACGGGCCCAAACUCCUACGGGAGGCAGCAGUGGGGAAUAUUGCACAAUGGGGGAAACCCUGAUGCAGCGACGCCGCGUGAACGAGAGUAUUCGGUAUGUAAAGUUCUAUCAGCAGGGAAGAUAAUGACGGUACCUGACUAAGAAGCACCGGCUAAAUACGUGCCAGCAGCCGCGGU
Molecule: ribosomal RNA, 481 nt
Filed under: uncultured bacterium
Lineage: Bacteria
Description: bacterial SSU rRNA
Rfam family: Bacterial small subunit ribosomal RNA
Source: RNAcentral